This 254-nucleotide ribosomal RNA is filed under the name uncultured bacterium. Its description in RNAcentral is "partial 16S ribosomal RNA". It matches the Rfam family "Bacterial small subunit ribosomal RNA", at positions 524 to 776 of the family's 1533-position model. The record is from RNAcentral.
UACGUAGGGUGCAAGCGUUAAUCGGAAUUACUGGGCGUAAAGCGUGCGCAGGCGGUUUUGUAAGUCAGAUGUGAAAUCCCCGGGCUUAACCUGGGAAUGGCAUUUGGGACUGCAAGGCUGGAGUGCGGCAGAGGAGACUGGAAUUCCACGUGUAGCAGUGAAAUGCGUAGAGAUGUGGAGGAACACCAAUGGCGAAGGCAGCCCCCUGGGAUGACAACUGACGCUCAUGCACGAAAGCGUGGGGAGCAAACAGG